UGCGCAGGCGGGUUAUUAAGUCAGUGGUGAAAUCUCUCGGCUCAACCGAGAAACUGCCAUUGAAACUGAUAAUCUUGAGUAUAGUUGUAGUAGGCGGAAUAUAGCAUGUAGCGGUGAAAUGCUUAGAUAUGCUAUAGAACACCGAUCGCGAAGGCAGCUUACUAAACUAUUACUGACGCUCAUGCACGAAAGCGUGGGGAGCAAACAGGAUUAGAUACCCUGGUAGUCC
Molecule: ribosomal RNA, 229 nt
Filed under: uncultured bacterium
Lineage: Bacteria
Description: partial 16S ribosomal RNA
Rfam family: Bacterial small subunit ribosomal RNA
Source: RNAcentral